GAUGAACGCUAGCGGCAGGCCUAAUACAUGCCAGUCGAACGAGAUUACGAGGCUUGCUUCUUAUGAAAGUGGCGCACGGGUGCGUAACGCGUAUGCAACCUACCUUAAUCAGGGGGAUAGCCCGAAGAAAUUCGGAUUAAGACCGCAUAAAAACACAGGAUAGCAUUAUCCAAUGUUCAAAUAUUUAUAGGAUUAAGAUGGGCAUGCGUGUCAUUAGCUAGUUGGCGGGGUAACGGCCCACCAAGGCGACGAUGACUAGGGGAUCUGAGAGGAUGACCCCCCACACUGGUACUGAGACACGGACCAGACUCCUACGGGAGGCAGCAGUAAGGAAUAUUGGUCAAUGGAGGGAACUCUGAACCAGCCAUGCCGCGUGCAGGAAGACAGCCCUCUGGGUCGUAAACUGCUUUUAUUCGGGAAUAAACCUUUCUACGUGUAGGAAGCUGAAUGUACCGAAGGAAUAAGGAUCGGCUAACUCCGUG
This 482-nucleotide ribosomal RNA is filed under the name uncultured bacterium. Its description in RNAcentral is "partial 16S ribosomal RNA". It matches the Rfam family "Bacterial small subunit ribosomal RNA", at positions 28 to 507 of the family's 1533-position model. The record is from RNAcentral.